RNAcentral lists this ribosomal RNA (253 nucleotides) under uncultured bacterium. RNAcentral's name for it is "partial 16S ribosomal RNA". It matches the Rfam family "Bacterial small subunit ribosomal RNA", at positions 524 to 776 of the family's 1533-position model. The record is from RNAcentral.
UACGUAGGGUGCGAGCGUUGUCCGGAAUUACUGGGCGUAAAGCGCUCGUAGGUGGUUUGUCGCGUUGUCCGUGAAAACUCACAACUCAAUUGUGGGCGUGCGGGCGAUACGGGCAGACUGGAGUACUGCAGGGGAGACUGGAAUUCCUGGUGUAGCGGUGGAAUGCGCAGAUAUCAGGAGGAACACCAGCGGCGAAGGCGGCGCUCUGGGCCGGUACUGACACUGAGGAGCGAAAGCGUGGGUAGCAAACAGG